GACGAACGCUGGCGGCGUGCCUAAUACAUGCAAGUAGAACGCACAGUAUAUACCGUAGCUUGCUACACCAUAGACUGUGAGUUGCGAACGGGUGAGUAACGCGUAGGUAACCUGCCUGGUAGCGGGGGAUAACUAUUGGAAACGAUAGCUAAUACCGCAUAAUAUUAAUUAUUGCAUGAUAAUUGAUUGAAAGAUGCAACUGCAUCACUACCAGAUGGACCUGCGUUGUAUUAGCUAGUAGGUGAGGUAACGGCUCACCUAGGCGACGAUACAUAGCCGACCUGAGAGGGUGAUCGGCCACACUGGGACUGAGACACGGCCCAGACUCCUACGGGAGGCAGCAGUAGGGAAUCUUCGGCAAUGGACGAAAGUCUGACCGAGCAACGCCGCGUGAGUGAAGAAGGUUUUCGGAUCGUAAAGCUCUGUUGUAAGAGAAGAACGGGUGUGAGAGUGGAAAGUUCACACUGUGACGGUAUCUUACCAGAAAGGGACGGCUAACUACGUGCCAGCAGCCGCGGUAAUACGUAGGUCCCGAGCGUUGUCCGGAUUUAUUGGGCGUAAAGCGAGCGCAGGCGGUUAGAUAAGUCUGAAGUUAAAGGCUGUGGCUUAACCAUAGUACGCUUUGGAAACUGUUUAACUUGAGUGCAGAAGGGGAGAGUGGAAUUCCAUGUGUAGCGGUGAAAUGCGUAGAUAUAUGGAGGAACACCGGUGGCGAAGGCGGCUCUCUGGUCUGUAACUGACGCUGAGGCUCGAAAGCGUGGGGAGCGAACAGG
Molecule: ribosomal RNA, 773 nt
Filed under: uncultured Streptococcus sp.
Lineage: Bacteria; Bacillati; Bacillota; Bacilli; Lactobacillales; Streptococcaceae
Description: bacterial SSU rRNA
Rfam family: Bacterial small subunit ribosomal RNA
Source: RNAcentral